Small nucleolar RNA from Hibiscus syriacus, 107 nucleotides. Lineage: Eukaryota; Viridiplantae; Streptophyta; Magnoliopsida; Malvales; Malvaceae. The record is from RefSeq and is a predicted model, not a curated record.
AAACCAUGCAUCGAGCAUUUGCGCAAUAAAUCUUUAAAUCGCUCCAAAACUUCAUAUAAGUUCUCAUCUUCCAGUUGCGUGAAAGAUGUGAUGUCAUUCAUCAAUCU